Molecule: ribosomal RNA, 447 nt
Filed under: uncultured bacterium
Lineage: Bacteria
Description: bacterial SSU rRNA
Rfam family: Bacterial small subunit ribosomal RNA
Source: RNAcentral
UGGGGAAUAUUGGACAAUGGGGGAAACCCUGAUCCAGCCAUGCCGCGUGAAUGAUGAAGGCCUUAGGGUUGUAAAGUUCUUUUGUCAGGGAAGAUAAUGACGGUACCUGAAGAAUAAGCACCGGCUAACUUCGUGCCAGCAGCCGCGGUAAUACGAAGGGUGCUAGCGUUGUUCGGAAUCACUGGGCGUAAAGCGCGCGUAGGCGGUUAAUUAAGUCAGGGGUGAAAUCCUGAGGCUCAACCUCAGAAUUGCCUUUGAAACUGGUUAACUAGAGUGUCGGAGGGGAUAGCGGAAUUGCUAAUGUAGCGGUGAAAUGCGUAGAUAUUAGCAGGAACACCGGUGGCGAAGGCGGCUAUCUGGACGACAACUGACGCUGAGGCGCGAAAGCGCGGGGAUCAAACAGGAUUAGAUACCCGUGUAGUCCCUGAGCGGGCUGGCAAGGCGCAU